This 389-nucleotide unclassified non-coding RNA is filed under the name Hevea brasiliensis (rubber tree). Lineage: Eukaryota; Viridiplantae; Streptophyta; Magnoliopsida; Malpighiales; Euphorbiaceae. The record is from RNAcentral.
UGCCAUCUGCUUUACUUUAUUUCUUAUAUUCAAGAUCAUGUCCUGCCGCUUAUUAAACUCCUUUUCUGACAUUGGUUGCUUGUUGCGGAGAUUCGUCAGAAGGGAGUGCAAGCUAUCUAGUCUUGUCCCAAGAAUUGUUAUCUUCCUCCGAAUCGCAGAUGUAUGACGUAUGGCUUCCGGGCCAGAUGGUAAAGAACCCCUUUCAGACAUCAUGGAAGUUAUAUCAUCAACUAGCCUGGAAGCUUCAUUGAACUCCCUCAGCCAUGAAUCAGAAGACGAUGCCAUUACUGAUCAGGCGGCAGAUGAUGUCGGGAGCGGCGGUGAAUCCGGAGCAGCCGGCGGCGGAGGCUCUCCGACGGCGACGGAGAUCGAGAUCGGGUAUCCGCUAG